CCAAUAGCGUAUAUUAAGGUUGCUGCGGUUAAAAAGCUCGUAGUUGAAUUUCGGGAUUGAUGCAUCGGUCGUGCCUUAAGGGGUAUGAACUGGUGUAGCCAAUUUCUUACCUUCUGGUGAAUUGUGAUGUCCUCCUUAAUUGGGUGUUUCAAUGAACUAGGACUUUUUACUUUGAAAAAAUUAGAGUGUUUAAAGCAGGCAUUAUUUGCUUGAAUACAUUAGCAUGGAAUAAUAAAAUAGGACAAUGAUUCUAUUUUGUUGGUUUCUAGGAUCACUGUAAUGAUUAAUAGGGAUAGUUGGGGGCAUUAGUAUUCAAUUGUCAGAGGUGAAAUUCUUGGAUUAAUUGAAGACUAACUACUGCGAAAGCAUUUGCCAAGGAUAUUUUCAUUAAUCAAGAACGAAAGUUAGGGGAUCGAAGACGAUUAGGUACGUCGUAGUCUUAACCAUAAACUAUGCCGACUAGGAAUCAGACAACGUUAAAUUUUAAUGACUUGUUCGGCGCCUUACGGG
RNAcentral lists this ribosomal RNA (510 nucleotides) under uncultured Glomeromycotina. Its description in RNAcentral is "SSU rRNA". It matches the Rfam family "Eukaryotic small subunit ribosomal RNA", at positions 591 to 1094 of the family's 1831-position model. Lineage: Eukaryota; Fungi; Glomeromycota. The record is from RNAcentral.